AUUGAACGCUGGCGGCAGGCCUAACACAUGCAAGUCGAACGGCAGCACAGAAGAGCUUGCUCUUUGGGUGGCGAGUGGCGGACGGGUGAGUAAUGUCUGGGAAGCUGCCCGAUGGAGGGGGAUAACUACUGGAAACGGUAGCUAAUACCGCAUAACGUCGCAAGACCAAAGUGGGGGACCUUCGGGCCUCACUCCAUCGGAUGUGCCCAGAUGGGAUUAGCUAGUAGGUGGGGUAAUGGCUCACCUAGGCGACGAUCCCUAGCUGGUCUGAGAGGAAGGCCGGCCACAAUGGAACUGCGACACGGUCCAGACUCCUACGGGAGGCAGCGGUGGGGAAUAUUGCACAAUGGGCGCAAGCCUGAUGCAGCCAUGCCGCGUGUAUGAAGAAGGCCUUCGGGUUGUAAAGUACUUUCAGCGGGGAGGAAGGCGGUGAGGUUAAUAACCUCGCCGAUUGACGUUACCCGCAGAAGAAGCACCGGCUAACUCCGUGCCAGCCGCCGCCGUAA
This 506-nucleotide ribosomal RNA is filed under the name uncultured bacterium. Its description in RNAcentral is "partial 16S ribosomal RNA". It matches the Rfam family "Bacterial small subunit ribosomal RNA", at positions 29 to 523 of the family's 1533-position model. The record is from RNAcentral.